This 180-nucleotide ribosomal RNA is filed under the name Salmonella enterica subsp. enterica serovar Oranienburg. RNAcentral's name for it is "partial 16S ribosomal RNA". It matches the Rfam family "Bacterial small subunit ribosomal RNA", at positions 1 to 176 of the family's 1533-position model. RNAcentral also lists the same sequence under 1 other name. The record is from RNAcentral. Lineage: Bacteria; Pseudomonadati; Pseudomonadota; Gammaproteobacteria; Enterobacterales; Enterobacteriaceae.
AAAUUGAAGAGUUUGAUCAUGGCUCAGAUUGAACGCUGGCGGCAGGCCUAACACAUGCAAGUCGAACGGUAGCAUAGAGAGCUUGCUCUCGGGUGACGAGUGGCGGACGGGUGAGUAAUGUCUGGGAAACUGCCUGAUGGAGGGGGAUAACUACUGGAAACGGUGGCUAAUACCGCAUAA